AAUCUUAUAUUCAAAGUGAUGAUUUUAGAUUGCAAUUCUAAAGGUGUAAAGGUUUACUAAGGUUU
This 65-nucleotide transfer RNA is filed under the name Phryganogryllacris superangulata. Its description in RNAcentral is "tRNA-Cys". Lineage: Eukaryota; Metazoa; Arthropoda; Insecta; Orthoptera; Gryllacrididae. The record is from RNAcentral.